RNAcentral lists this long non-coding RNA (1835 nucleotides) under Bemisia tabaci. RNAcentral's name for it is "lncRNA ENSSSA1NGG006485". The record is from RNAcentral. Lineage: Eukaryota; Metazoa; Arthropoda; Insecta; Hemiptera; Aleyrodidae.
AUGCCGAAAAGGAAAGCAUCCGAAUCGCUCCGAACCAAAGUCCUCAGAAAUUGCCAUCUUAAAAAAAAAAAAAGACUGGAGAGCCAAGAUAUGUACUCCACUUCAUCUUCCGCACCUUCUUCCGCACCUUCUUUUACUUUUUCCGGGAGAAAGAAUGCCGACUGGAUGGAGGUGCUUAAUGAUUCAAUCACCAAACAGUGGAAAAAAGGGCACAUAAAAAAUCGACAAAUAACCGACAUCACCCAGGAUCUCCUCUGUAUGAUAGAGUUAGAAAAAGUAAGUAUACUCUUCAAAUUAAGGUCCAUCCAGAAAAAAUAAUGUAAAUUACUAACGAAGCAGUGGCUGAAAAUUAGUGGUACUUAGUGCAGUUCGAUUCUGAAAAACCGAGCACAGAUCCAAAACACGGCCACACCAAAUAAGUACCAAUCAUCACUCAUGCGCAAAUGAUUAAGGUGAUAGAUCUGAUAUGUGGCUUAUGUAUUGUUAAGCUUGCUCACCACCAUUUCAAUUCAUAGGGCGCAAAAUCUACAACUGUACGCUUCCCUCUUCCUUGCCAUUCUUCUUGUUUCCUUCUCUGUAUCUGUUUGAAGGUCACUAAUUCAAAUGGCACUGGUGCAUAAUUCAGGUACUUUGAAGGUUUAAAAAAAAGAGAAAAAAAAAUCAUCCCUAACUGUUCAAAUAUUCAUCAGUUAUUAAUCUAUUUCUGUUGACACAUUUUCCAUUUUUCAAUUUAAAAUGAUACGAUUGUCUCAAGCAAAUAUACUUGAGGACCACUCUUCUCAAUUUUAAACUUAAUUUUGCUCUGUAUAUUUUUGGGAUUGGUAAGUAUCUGCCAGUCUGUGCAGUCGACGAUCAAACUUGUUUCCAUGUUAAGGACAGGCGGGAAAACAAUCUGUCGUAGCAGAGUCUGAUGAUAUAGCAGAAGGGCACUGUAAUGCAUUCCGAUUUUUCGAAAAAUAAAUGCUGGCAGUGAAAAAGAGUGCAGACAAUUUAUAUUUUCCAUUUCAAUAUUUAUUCAAUUACAUUAUCAACGGGCAAAGCCCAAUAACAAAUAAAUUAGACAAAAGAAUAACAAAAGCGGGCAGUAGAAGAUUAAAAAAAAUUCAAACAAGUGACAAAAGACUAAGAUAAGGUGACAGAAUUAUGAGAAGAUAAAAUAUAGUAAUAAAGAAAAAAUUAGAACAGACUGAAAUUAUCCUUAAUAGCUCGCUCGAAUUGAGAAAUAGAAACAUUAAAAAUAUCAAUCUGGGAAGGCAGAGAAUUACUCAGACCGGAUAAACGGCAUACAACUGACUUAUGAUAAUAGUUCCUGUGCGAUAUAUUAAGGUGGAAAGUAUUCUAGGAAUUCCUUGUACUUCUACCAGGAACCCUGAUAUUCAAUGAGGACAAAAUUUCAGGACAGUCUAUUCAAUUAUUAAAAAUUUUGAAAAGCAGAAUUAAACCAUUAUACUUCAAUAUCACCACGUUUUUACCUGUUAUGGACUCGGGAUAUUUAGAUCGCAUUUGGCAAAAAGGAGCCAGCGCGAUUACAGUGUCAUAAAAAUGCUGCCUCUUUAUAAUUACCUAAAAAAUCUGCUAACCAGCAAACAGUUUUUGCUUUCCACCAAAACAUUGUUAAUUUCUAAAGGAAAAUAAUUAUGUAAAUUUUAAUGCUUUACAUAAAUCAAGCGUUUUUAAAAGAAAAGAUAAAGUCGCACAAUUUUAAAAACGCUGUAAUUGUGCUGGUUCCUUUUUGCUAGAUGCGAUCCAUUUAUGAAUGGGUUGAUUCAUUUGAGGGUUUGGUUGUGCAUAAAUCUUUGAACAACUCUCGUCUAUGAUAACGAACACCUGCGCGC